This 935-nucleotide ribosomal RNA is filed under the name uncultured bacterium. RNAcentral's name for it is "bacterial SSU rRNA". It matches the Rfam family "Bacterial small subunit ribosomal RNA", at positions 56 to 1013 of the family's 1533-position model. The record is from RNAcentral.
UGCAAGUCGAGCGAGGUAGCAAUACCUAGCGGCGAACGGUCGCGUAACACGUAAGCAACCUGCCCCAAAGACCGGGACAACGUUCCGAAAGGAGCGCUAAUACCGGAUGUGCCCAUCUGUUGACAUCGGCGGAUGAGUAAAUCGCGCAAUCGGCUUUGGGAGGGGCUUGCGGCCUAUCAGCUAGAUGGUGGGGUAACGGCCUACCAUGGCGACGACGGGUAGCUGGUCUGAGAGGAUGGUCAGCCGGAUUGGGACUGAGAUACGGCCCAGACUCCUACGGGGGGCAGCAAUUAGGAAUCUUGCGCAAUGGGCGAAAGCCUGACGCAGCGACGUCGCGUGGGGGAGGAAGGCUUUCGGGUUGUAAACCCCUUUUAUCGAGGAAGAAACAAAUGGCGGUACUCGAUGAAUAAGCCCCGGCUAACUCCGUGCCAGCAGCCGCGGUAAUACGGAGGGGGCUAGCGUUGUCCGAAGUUACUGGGCGUAAAGCGCGCGUAGGCGGGUUGGUAAGUCCGCUGUGAAAGCCCGGAGCUUAACUCCGGAGGGUCGGUGGAUACUGCCAGUCUUGAAGGUGCUAGGGGGAGAUGGAAUUACCGGUGUAGCGGUGAAAUGCGUAGAUAUCGGUAGGAACACCAGUGGCGAAGGCGGUCUCCUGGGGCAUUCUUGACGCUGAGGCGCGAAAGCUGGGGGAGCAAACGGGAUUAGAUACCCCGGUAGUCCCAGCCCUAAACGAUGAAUACUAGGUGUCGGGGGUAUCGACCCCUCCGGUGCCGCCGCUAACGCAGUAAGUAUUCCGCCUGGGGAGUACGGCCGCAAGGUUGAAACUCAAAGGAAUUGACGGGGGCCCGCACAAGCGGUGGAGCAUGUUGUUUAAUACGUCACUAACCGUAGAACCUUACCAGGGUUUGACAUGGCGUGCCAUCCUAUGAAAGUAGGCU